UAUCCUAUUUGAUGACCCUGAGGAUUUGAUUGUGGUAUAAGGUGGAUUCCGCUGACUGGCUUUGUUUCUGGAAGAUUUUAGGGGCCCAGUGCUCAGCCUUCAACUCCUGGACUGUAUGCUCUAACUCUAGGGGACUUGUAUUGGGCCCUGACUUUCUUCUCUGGCUCCUCAAGAUUAGGAAUUUCUCUGCACUGUAAGGGGGUGGGGUGAGGUGCUCUUGGACCACUGGUCACUACACUCUGAUGGAUGGUGUCAGCCAAAGCAUUUAGUAGUGCAGUGACAGCAGAUCCAUCCUCAUCUGCACAUGCCAGUAGCAGUGGUAGUGGCAGCUGUGGCAAAGAGCUAGCAGAUGCUAGGGUGUCUGCCUCCCCGCAGGCAUUCACCACAGUGGUGGAGGCAACACAGCUGGGGAUGUGCAGGGGGCCUCUGCUGGUGACUGUGCAUGUGGUUGUGCUGGAGGUGGUGUUGGCUUGGGGGCAGAAUGCUGGCAGGUGCAGGUCUGGGUACCUUCUCUGUGCCCCACAAACAGGAGUGGUCACUUAGGGUGAAGGAGGAUCUGCUCUUCUCUACACAGUGUUAGUGCAAGGGUGGGGUGCUGACAGGGGCUGGGCUGGCGGGCUCUGUGUUCGCCAAGGCUCCGAUUGCAAUGGUGAUCAGUGGGGGAAUGGGAAGUGGCUGCAUUCCCACACUGGCAGGGCGAGGAAUGCAAAACCCACCCAGGCAGACACGUG
Molecule: long non-coding RNA, 731 nt
Filed under: Homo sapiens (human)
Lineage: Eukaryota; Metazoa; Chordata; Mammalia; Primates; Hominidae
Description: HSALNT0065356
Source: RNAcentral